RNAcentral lists this unclassified non-coding RNA (344 nucleotides) under Bacillus subtilis. Its description in RNAcentral is "16S-23S ribosomal RNA intergenic spacer". The stretch from base 1 to 127 matches the Rfam family "Bacterial small subunit ribosomal RNA", at positions 1408 to 1533 of the family's 1533-position model. The record is from RNAcentral. Lineage: Bacteria; Bacillati; Bacillota; Bacilli; Caryophanales; Bacillaceae.
GAGUUUGUAACACCCGAAGUCGGUGAGGUAACCUUUUAGGAGCCAGCCGCCGAAGGUGGGACAGAUGAUUGGGGUGAAGUCGUAACAAGGUAGCCGUAUCGGAAGGUGCGGCUGGAUCACCUCCUUUCUAAGGAUAUUAUACGGAAUAUAAGACCUUGGGUCUUAUAAACAGAACGUUCCCUGUCUUGUUUAGUUUUGAAGGAACUUUGUUCCUUGAAUAAGUUAAGAUGGGCCUGUAGCUCAGCUGGUUAGAGCGCACGCCUGAUAAGCGUGAGGUCGGUGGUUCGAGUCCACUCAGGCCCACCAUCUUAUAUAACGGGGCCUUAGCUCAGCUGGGAGAGCGC